UGAACGCUGGCGGCGUGCCUAAUACAUGCAAGUCGAACGAGUUCUGAUUAUUGAAAGGUGCUUGCAUCUUGAUUUAAUUUUGAACGAGUGGCGGACGGGUGAGUAACACGUGGGUAACCUGCCCUUAAGUGGGGGAUAACAUUUGGAAACAGAUGCUAAUACCGCAUAAAUCCAAGAACCGCAUGGUUCUUGGCUGAAAGAUGGCGUAAGCUAUCGCUUUUGGAUGGACCCGCGGCGUAUUAGCUAGUUGGUGAGGUAACGGCUCACCAAGGCAAUGAUACGUAGCCGAACUGAGAGGUUGAUCGGCCACAUUGGGACUGAGACACGGCCCAAACUCCUACGGGAGGCAGCAGUAGGGAAUCUUCCACAAUGGACGCAAGUCUGAUGGAGCAACGCCGCGUGAGUGAAGAAGGCUUUCGGGUCGUAAAACUCUGUUGUUGGAGAAGAAUGGUCGGCAGAGUAACUGUUGUCGGCGUGACGGUAUCCAACCAGAAAGCCACGGCUAACUACGUGCCAGCAGCCGCGGUAAUACGUAGGUGGCAAGCGUUAUCCGGAUUUAUUGGGCGUAAAGCGAGCGCAGGCGGUUUUUUAAGUCUGAUGUGAAAGCCCUCGGCUUAACCGAGGAAGUGCAUCGGAAACUGGGAAACUUGAGUGCAGAAGAGGACAGUGGAACUCCAUGUGUAGCGGUGAAAUGCGUAGAUAUAUGGAAGAACACCAGUGGCGAAGGCGGCUGUCUGGUCUGUAACUGACGCUGGGGCUCGAAAGCAUGGGUAGCGAACAGGAUUAGAUACCCUGGUAGUCCAUGCCGUAAACGAUGAAUGCUAGGUGUUGGAGGGUUUCCGCCCUUCAGUGCCGCAGCUAACGCAUUAAGCAUUCCGCCUGGGGAGUACGACCGCAAGGUUGAAACUCAAAGGAAUUGACGGGGGCCCGCACAAGCGGUGGAGCAUGUGGUUUAAUUCGAAGCAACGCGAAGAACCUUACCAGGUCUUGACAUCUUUUGAUCACCUGAGAGAUCAGGUUUCCCCUUCGGGGGCAAAAUGACAGGUGGUGCAUGGUUGUCGUCAGCUCGUGUCGUGAGAUGUUGGGUUAAGUCCCGCAACGAGCGCAACCCUUAUGACUAGUUGCCAGCAUUUAGUUGGGCACUCUAGUAAGACUGCCGGUGACAAACCGGAGGAAGGUGGGGAUGACGUCAAAUCAUCAUGCCCCUUAUGACCUGGGCUACACACGUGCUACAAUGGAUGGUACAACGAGUUGCGAGACCGCGAGGUCAAGCUAAUCUCUUAAAGCCAUUCUCAGUUCGGACUGUAGGCUGCAACUCGCCUACACGAAGUCGGAAUCGCUAGUAAUCGCGGAUCAGCACGCCGCGGUGAAUACGUUCCCGGGCCUUGUACACACCGCCCGUCACACCAUGAGAGUUUGUAACACCCGAAGCCGGUGGCGUAACCCUUUUAGGGAGCGAGCCGUCUAAGGUGGGACAAAUGAUU
This 1484-nucleotide ribosomal RNA is filed under the name uncultured organism. RNAcentral's name for it is "16S ribosomal RNA". It matches the Rfam family "Bacterial small subunit ribosomal RNA". The record is from RNAcentral.